Molecule: RNase P RNA, 327 nt
Filed under: Bacillota bacterium
Lineage: Bacteria; Bacillati; Bacillota
Description: RNase P RNA component class B
Rfam family: Bacterial RNase P class B
About the family: Ribonuclease P (RNase P) is a ubiquitous endoribonuclease, found in archaea, bacteria and eukarya as well as chloroplasts and mitochondria. Its best characterised activity is the generation of mature 5'-ends of tRNAs by cleaving the 5'-leader elements of precursor-tRNAs.
Source: RNAcentral
CGACCCGGAUGAUUGCUGGCGUAAGCUAGAGGAAAGUCCAUGCUCGCACGGGCUGUGAUGCCCGUAGUGAUUGUGCUAACGGAAACGAUAACGUUAGGUAUAUGGGAGCAUAUAACGGCGGCGCAAGGCCUAAGUCGCAAGAUAUGGCGGCGCGCCUUAAAGUGCCACAGUGACGCAGUCUAGUAGGAAACUCUAGAAUGGAACGCGGUAAACCCCACAAGCGAGAAACCCAAAUUUGGUAGGGGAAGUUGAUGAAGGGAAGCGAACCAUCAUCAUCAUGCAAUGCAUAGAUAAAUAAUCGUCCUUGACAGAACAUGGCUUACAGGG